UACGGAGGGUGCAAGCGUUAAUCGGAAUUACUGGGCGUAAAGCGCGCGUAGGUGGUUCAGUCAGUCAGAUGUGAAAGCCCCGGGCUCAACCUGGGAAUUGCACCUGAUACUGCUGAGCUAGAGUACGGUAGAGGGUAGUGGAAUUUCCGGUGUAGCGGUGAAAUGCGUAGAGAUCGGAAGGAACACCAGUGGCGAAGGCGACUACCUGGACCGAUACUGACACUGAGGUGCGAAAGCGUGGGUAGCAAACAGG
Molecule: ribosomal RNA, 253 nt
Filed under: uncultured bacterium
Lineage: Bacteria
Also listed under: 1 other name
Description: partial 16S ribosomal RNA
Rfam family: Bacterial small subunit ribosomal RNA
Source: RNAcentral